Long non-coding RNA from Juglans regia (Persian walnut), 591 nucleotides. RefSeq lists it as uncharacterized. The transcript has 2 exons. NCBI's taxonomy places the organism in Eukaryota, Viridiplantae, Streptophyta, Magnoliopsida, Fagales, Juglandaceae. The record is from RefSeq and is a predicted model, not a curated record.
CUGAGGGACUGCACUCACGAGCCCCUCCUUCUCCUUCCCUUCGAUUUCCCCUUUGCCCCUUCCUCCCUCCAUUCUUCCCGAGUCCCUUAUCCCCUACCCCUUCCUCCUGAACUCGAUUUUUCUCCCUCCCUUCCUUCUGAUCUUCAGACGGUCCUGCUGAGCCCUAAGUCCAUACCCUUCAUGCGAUAGUCCCCUUCCUCCCCUUCCGUCUAAGCCCUAAAUGAAGGGUUUGUGCUCUUGCUUAGAUAAUGCCAUGACUGAAAUUUGAGUGUGUUUGUUGAACUCCAAAGGAGAGAGAAAGAACUCUAGCAUGCAAGGGAAGAGAUCCAUAAAAGAGAGGGGGACAUCCAAAAGAGAGUUUUGUUUGCUACGAUCAAGAUCAAUGGAAGAUUAAGUUUGUGUUAGGAACUUUUUGUAUGUUGUUAAGUUUGUUAGUGUUUCAGUGUAGCCAGACUGGUGACUUGUAAACAUUCUGCAUUAAUAUGCAGUCUUGUCGAAGUUGUAAUAUGCAAUUUAUGCUUCCAACUGUACCAGACUUAUGAUCCCUUCAAUAUAAUGUAUUUUCCAACAGAUUUUCUGUUGUAUUAGUAA